Molecule: ribosomal RNA, 468 nt
Filed under: uncultured bacterium
Lineage: Bacteria
Description: partial 16S ribosomal RNA
Rfam family: Bacterial small subunit ribosomal RNA
Source: RNAcentral
GACGAACGCUGGCGGCGUGCUUAACACAUGCAAGUCGAACGGAAAGGCCCUGCUUUUGUGGGGUGCUCGAGUGGCGAACGGGUGAGUAACACGUGAGUAACCUGCCCUUGACUUUGGGAUAACUUCAGGAAACUGGGGCUAAUACCGGAUAGGAGCUCCUGCUGCAGGGUGGGGGUUGGAAAGUUUCGGCGGUUGGGGAUGGACGCGCGGCUUAUCAGCUUGUUGGGGGGGUAGGGGCUUACCAAGGCUUUGACGGGUAGCCGGCCUGAGAGGGUGACCGGCCACAUUGGGACUGAGAUACGGCCCAGACUCCUACGGGAGGCAGCAGUGGGGAAUAUUGCACAAUGGGCGGAAGCCUGAUGCAGCAACGCCGCGUGCGGGAUGACGGCCUUCGGGUUGUAAACCGCUUUCGCCUGUGACGAAGCGUGAGUGACGGUACUGGGUGAAGAAGCACCGGCUAACUACGUG